GUGAAACUAGGGGCCGGGGUGGGAGGAAAUCGGUAGGGGGCGAGGGUGUGCUGGAGUUAGUGGGCGUGAAAGGCGUGUAGGCGGCCAGACAGGUCCGUUGUGAAAACGCGAGGCUCAACCUCGAGACGCCGAUGGAAACCGUCUGGCUAGAGUCCGGAAGAGGAGAGUGGAAUUCCUGGUGUAGCGGUGAAAUGCGCAGAUAUCAGGAAGAACACCCGUGGCUAAGGCGGCUCUCUAGUACGGUACUGACGCUGAGACGCGAAAGCGUGGGGAGCGAACAGGAUUAGAUACCCGGUAGUC
Molecule: ribosomal RNA, 300 nt
Filed under: uncultured Methanosaeta sp.
Lineage: Archaea; Methanobacteriati; Methanobacteriota; Methanomicrobia; Methanotrichales; Methanotrichaceae
Description: bacterial SSU rRNA
Rfam family: Bacterial small subunit ribosomal RNA (bases 53-300)
Source: RNAcentral